GGAUUUGACUCAUCAGUUUGAGGCCUUAGACUGGGGUGGUGAUCUAAGUAGUUAAGCUUUCGUUCUUCUUCGAAGACGUCGAAUCCUAAGAUCUAAGAUAAUAGAAAGGAAGCGAUCAGCUAAAAUAGUAUUCUCGGAGAGAACCUCCCACACAGGGAAUGCAUACUGGCCUAACGGUUUGCUCUUAGCACACAAGUAGUUGAAGGUUGUCCCAAGGGUGCCAACUUCAGAAGAUGCAGAAAGACCUUACAGCCUCAGCGGGUGAAC
This 267-nucleotide unclassified non-coding RNA is filed under the name Hevea brasiliensis (rubber tree). The record is from RNAcentral. Lineage: Eukaryota; Viridiplantae; Streptophyta; Magnoliopsida; Malpighiales; Euphorbiaceae.